Molecule: ribosomal RNA, 426 nt
Filed under: uncultured prokaryote
Description: bacterial SSU rRNA
Rfam family: Bacterial small subunit ribosomal RNA
Source: RNAcentral
UGGGGAAUUUUCCGCAAUGGGCGAAAGCCUGACGGAGCAAUACCGCGUGAGGGAGGAAGGCUUUUGGGUUGUAAACCUCUUUUCUCAAGGAAGAAGAUCUGACGGUACUUGAGGAAUCAGCAUCGGCUAACUCCGUGCCAGCAGCCGCGGUAAUACGGAGGAUGCAAGCGUUGUCCGGAUUUAUUGGGUUUAAAGGGUGCGUAGGCGGUUUAUUAAGUCAGUGGUGAAAGCCCACAGCUCAACUGUGGAAUUGCCAAUGAAACUGGUAGACUUGAGUACAGUCGAGGUAGGCGGAAUUUAUGGUGUAGCGGUGAAAUGCAUAGAUACCAUAAAGAACCCCGAUAGCGAAGGCAGCUUACUAGAGUGUAACUGACGCUGAGGCACGAAAGCGUGGGGAGCGAACAGGAUUAGAUACCCGCGUAGUCC